Molecule: ribosomal RNA, 429 nt
Filed under: uncultured bacterium
Lineage: Bacteria
Description: bacterial SSU rRNA
Rfam family: Bacterial small subunit ribosomal RNA
Source: RNAcentral
UGAGGGAUAUUGCGCAAUGGGGGAAACCCUGACGCAGCAACGCCGCGUGAGUGAGGAAGGUUUUCGGAUCGUAAAGCUCUGUCGGGUGGGAAGAAAUGUAUGGAGGUUAAUAGCCUUUGUACUUGACGGUACCGCCAAAGGAAGCACCGGCUAACUCCGUGCCAGCAGCCGCGGUAAUACGGGGGGUGCAAGCGUUGUUCGGAAUCAUUGGGCGUAAAGAGCGUGUAGGCGGCUGAGCAAGUCAGAUGUGAAAUCCCUGGGCUUAACCCAGGAAGUGCAUUUGAAACUGUUCAGCUUGAGUAAGGAAGAGGGAAGUGGAAUUCCUGGUGUAGAGGUGAAAUUCGUAGAUAUCAGGAGGAACACCGGUGGCGAAGGCGACUUCCUGGUCCUAUACUGACGCUGAGACGCGAGAGCGUGGGGAGCAAACAG